CAUCAAACUGUCGUGAUUACCAGCCGAGGUAAACUUUUAUUAUAAGUUGAUUUUGUCUGAACAACACCCUAAAAACCUACCUCUGAGCUGAGAGUUAUUGUUGUCUUAAAAAAACAGGUUUUAACAGGAUUCCAGGACCUGUUCUGUUCCAGAGUCUUCAGUUUACACAGAGGCAGGAGAGGAGGCAGGAGAGGAGAGGCAGAGGCAGGAGAGGCAGGGGUAGAGGCGGGAGAGGAGAGGCAGGGGUAGAGACAUGAUCUUUCUGUCGUUUGUAAGUAUUAAGAAAAAACCCCAUUAUCUGAUUCAUUUAGCCCAACUCUCUCAGAAUAACUAGGCUGAUUAUCUGGCUUCUCUCUUCAUGACCUGGGUCACCUCUCCUGAUCUCUUUGUGGUGUACUCCAGGGACGACACUGGCCCCC
RNAcentral lists this long non-coding RNA (419 nucleotides) under Salmo salar (Atlantic salmon). RNAcentral describes it as "lncRNA (ENSSSAG00000122026.1)". The record is from RNAcentral. Lineage: Eukaryota; Metazoa; Chordata; Actinopteri; Salmoniformes; Salmonidae.